Molecule: unclassified non-coding RNA, 320 nt
Filed under: plant metagenome
Description: partial contains 5.8S ribosomal RNA, internal transcribed spacer 2, and large subunit ribosomal RNA
Rfam family: 5.8S ribosomal RNA (bases 1-105)
Source: RNAcentral
GAAAUGCGAUAAGUAAUGUGAAUUGCAGAAUUCAGUGAAUCAUCGAAUCUUUGAACGCACAUUGCGCCCGCCAGUAUUCUGGCGGGCAUGCCUGUUCGAGCGUCAUUACAACCCUCAGGCCCCCGGGCCUGGCGUUGGGGAUCCGCGGAAGCCCCCUGCGGGCACAACGCCGUCCCCCAAAUACAGUGGCGGUCCCGCCGCAGCUUCCAUUGCGUAGUAGCUAACACCUCGCAACUGGAGAGCGGCGCGGCCACGCCGUAAAACACCCAACUUCUGAAUGUUGACCUCGAAUCAGGUAGGAAUACCCGCUGAACUUAAGC